AAUCAACGCUGGCGGCGUGCCUAACACAUGCAAGUCGAACGAGAAAGUGGAGCAAUCCAUGAGUAAAGUGGCGCACGGGUGAGUAACACGUGACUAACCUACCCUUGAGUGGGGGAUAACCUAGGGAAACCUGGGCUAAUACCGCAUAAUACCUACGGGUCAAAGGAGCAAUUCGCUUUGGGAGGGGGUCGCGGCCGAUUAGUUAGUUGGCAGGGUAAUGGCCUACCAAGACGAUGAUCGGUACCGGCCUGAGAGGGCGCACGGACACACUGGAACUGAAACACGGUCCAGACUCCUACGGGAGGCAGCAGUGGGGAAUUUUGCGCAAUGGGGGAAACCCUGACGCAGCAACGCCGCGUGGAGGAUGAAGUCCCUUGGGACUAAACUCCUUUCGAUCGGGACGAUAAUGACGGUACCGGAAGAAGAAG
RNAcentral lists this ribosomal RNA (428 nucleotides) under uncultured bacterium. Its description in RNAcentral is "bacterial SSU rRNA". It matches the Rfam family "Bacterial small subunit ribosomal RNA", at positions 32 to 490 of the family's 1533-position model. The record is from RNAcentral.